UGGUGGGAUGGUAGCAGUAUCUAGAAAUUCACACCAGAGUAACAAAAUGUGUAUCCAGUCAAACCCAGGACUGUAUGACGAAGGCACGGCUUACUGAAGAGAGGCCAAGACCAAAAUCACCUCCUAUUGCUUUCGGUAUUUGGGCUGCCGAAGUAAAGGUCAGAUAUUCUCUAAAAAGCUGGAUGAUCCAUAUAUAUGAACACAACAUUACCUCACUGCAGACACUAACAGGUUGCUAGUCUUCAAAGUCUCCAUCAACACACUUCCACAUUUUCAACUGUUUUCUGCUUCCGGACCACAGGUCUUCUAUGAAAUGACGUACCCUAGAGUGGUGUUGCAGCCCCACGCUUGCACGUGGCUUACAGCUGCGGCAACAGCAUCUUUCCUGUAGGCAGCACAGCUCACAGGCUUCUCUGAAAGCAAGGGCUCACCAUGCCCAUCCCAUAGCAAAAUCCACCCUGCUCUUAUAUCUUUCGAGCUAUAAGCCCCCUUCAAAACACCUGCACUGCGAUUAAGCUAGUCCCUGUGCAAAACAAAAGACUCAAAAAUUGCACCUGGUUCUUUAGUUAUCUUCAGAAGUCUGGGCUCAAGGAUGACAACUGCCUCGUUAUUUGCUGUACAAUCAUGUAUAUGUUCAAAGGGACGUAUUCACAAUCCAACAAUAAGAACCUUAAUUAGGUACUUGGGUUAGAAAACCAGACUCCUUACCAGGACAGAGAGACUGGUUCAUCCACAGGCAAUCCAGAACACCCAAGUUAGGCUUUUGCUUUGACUCGCACUCUGGAGACUUUUUCUUGUCAUAUUAUAGGGAACCUGCUUUCUAAAUCAGGAACUUAUUUAAGGUCCCUAACGAUGAGCACAGGAAUAAUGCCCUGGACAUCCAUUUACUUCUGCUCAGCCACGCUCAGCCAUUUCAUUAAACACACUGAACAGCAUUUUGCUUUGCUCCCUCCUUGCCCAGAUCCUACACAAGCUUCAAAAAAUAACAACUGUUUUGGAGGGUCUGCAACAGAACAGAUUUUUAACACCAUUCUUUUCUUUAAGAGCAUUAAGUCCACCCAGUUCACAAAACCAGAACCUGACCUAGCUUAGGGUCCCUGCAGAUUUCUAUUCAGAUGCAGUCAUCCAGGCCCCAGGACACGAGGGCAGAGUCAGGAGGGAAUAACACUGGCAAGGCCAGCUGAGGAAUGCCUCGCACCUCCUCGUACCACACAGCAGGCUCUGCUUAGUGCUACGAGUCUUCCUCUAAUUGCACAAAUACUGAAGCCCUCUACAGAGUAUUUUCAAUCAAGACAAGGAAACAAGAAAGGACUGCUUAUCUGGUCUGCUGCUAACUGAAGCUUUUCAAUGUGGCCUUGAGGAUGUUUCAAUUCUAGUUCCUAUAAUCCUACAGAUAAUUUUUGCUCUUAGUUGGGCCUAAAAUAUCCCAGAAUUGUAUUAUGAUUCAGUAAAUUUUAUUAAUGUAAUACCCAGGAGCCUAGACCUUUGAAAACCAAGGCACUAAAGUUCAUUUCAGAGGGUAAAAAACAUUGCUUAAUUGAUUUGCAGCUAGAUAUUC
Egretta garzetta (little egret) is the source of this 1558-nucleotide long non-coding RNA. RefSeq lists it as uncharacterized. NCBI's taxonomy places the organism in Eukaryota, Metazoa, Chordata, Aves, Pelecaniformes, Ardeidae. The transcript has 3 exons. The record is from RefSeq and is a predicted model, not a curated record.